Molecule: ribosomal RNA, 441 nt
Filed under: Salmonella enterica subsp. enterica
Lineage: Bacteria; Pseudomonadati; Pseudomonadota; Gammaproteobacteria; Enterobacterales; Enterobacteriaceae
Description: bacterial SSU rRNA
Rfam family: Bacterial small subunit ribosomal RNA
Source: RNAcentral
GCAAGCGUUAAUCGGAAUUACUGGGCGUAAAGCGCACGCAGGCGGUCUGUCAAGUCGGAUGUGAAAUCCCCGGGCUCAACCUGGGAACUGCAUUCGAAACUGGCAGGCUUGAGUCUUGUAGAGGGGGGUAGAAUUCCAGGUGUAGCGGUGAAAUGCGUAGAGAUCUGGAGGAAUACCGGUGGCGAAGGCGGCCCCCUGGACAAAGACUGACGCUCAGGUGCGAAAGCGUGGGGAGCAAACAGGAUUAGAUACCCUGGUAGUCCACGCCGUAAACGAUGUCUACUUGGAGGUUGUGCCCUUGAGGCGUGGCUUCCGGAGCUAACGCGUUAAGUAGACCGCCUGGGGAGUACGGCCGCAAGGUUAAAACUCAAAUGAAUUGACGGGGGCCCGCACAAGCGGUGGAGCAUGUGGUUUAAUUCGAUGCAACGCGAAGAACCUUAC